UGAGGAACAUGACCUUCGGCGGGGGAGUAGCCGGCCCAACGGCCGGGUAAUACCGCGUACGACCACUCGGGGACAUCCCCGAUUGGUGAAAGCAGCAAUGCGCCGAAAGAGUGCCUCGCGGCCUAUCAGCUAGUUGGUGAGGUAACGGCUCACCAAGGCGACGACGGGUAGCUGGUCUGAGAGGACGACCAGCCACACUGGAACUGAGAUACGGUCCAGACUCCUACGGGAGGCA
RNAcentral lists this ribosomal RNA (235 nucleotides) under uncultured bacterium. Its description in RNAcentral is "partial 16S ribosomal RNA". It matches the Rfam family "Bacterial small subunit ribosomal RNA", at positions 118 to 350 of the family's 1533-position model. The record is from RNAcentral.